UAAAGUUCAUACAAACAUUUAUUCUGUUCCUACUCGGAGGGAGGUGGCAUCCCCCAGAUGAUAGCCCAGAGGCCCUGAAGGCCAGACCAAGGGGCUGGCUUGGCUCUGAGGUUGGGGAGUCCUGGGUGGGCUGGGGUGAGUUCUGGAAGCUACCCCCCAAGUGGGCAGGGUGAACAUCCAGGCCCAUGGGACUGACCAUGUGGGUUGACCCUCAGCUGAGGAGGUGUGCAGGUCAGCAGGUUUAAAUUAAAAAUUAAUAAAAAUAACAGUAUAAAGUAAAAAAAGACAACCCGUCUCAAACCAUGAGGGCUUGUCCUGUCGCCUGCGUUAUAUACAAAGGAGCGGAAGGCAUAACCCACUGUCGGGAGCGGUGGUGACACGUUGGACGGGUGUGGGGCUGGGCUGAGGACUGGUCUCAGCCUCGGCUCUGGGCUGCUCACUGCAGACCUGCGGCUCGAGCUCGGGAGGCGCAGGGUCAGCUGUCAUGUUUUAUUACACAGUUUGAAAAGAGGCCAAGGGCGUCAGGGCUGAGGGGUCGGGGUUGAGGGCAGCCAGGGUUGGAAGAAGGGGUGGCAUGGUAAUGUUGGAUGGGAGUCAUCGCUUGGUCUUGGCGUCUUCUCGGAUCUUCCAGAUGACAAGGUGCAUACAGGCACUGGCAUCUUCACUGGAGCUGUGCCCGUCCAC
RNAcentral lists this long non-coding RNA (684 nucleotides) under Rattus norvegicus (Norway rat). Its description in RNAcentral is "long non-coding RNA NONRATT026495". The record is from RNAcentral. Lineage: Eukaryota; Metazoa; Chordata; Mammalia; Rodentia; Muridae.